CUGGCUCAGAUUGAACGCUGGCGGCAGGCCUAACACAUGCAAGUCGAACGGUAACAGGAAGCAGCUUGCUGCUUGCUGACGAGUGGCGGACGGGUGAGUAAUGUCUGGGAAACUGCCCGAUGGAGGGGGAUAACUACUGGAAACGGUAGCUAAUACCGCAUAAUGUCGCAAGACCAAAGAGGGGGACCUUCGGGCCUCUUGCCAUCGGAUGUGCCCAGAUGGGAUUAGCUUGUUGGUGAGGUAACGGCCCACCAAGGCGACGAUCCCUAGCUGGUCUGAGAGGAUGACCAGCCACACUGGAACUGAGACACGGUCCAGACUCCUACGGGAGGCAGCAGUGGGGAAUAUUGCACAAUGGGCGCAAGCCUGAUGCAGCCAAUGCCGCGUGUAUGAAGAAGGCCUUCGGGUUGUAAAGUACUUUCAGCGGGGAGGAAGGGGUUAAGGUUAAUAACCUUAGCCAUUGACGUUACCCGCAGAAGAAGCACCGGCUAACUCCGUGCCAGCCGCCGC
Molecule: ribosomal RNA, 510 nt
Filed under: uncultured bacterium
Lineage: Bacteria
Description: bacterial SSU rRNA
Rfam family: Bacterial small subunit ribosomal RNA
Source: RNAcentral